GAGAUGGGUGCGACUUGCGAGGUCCAAUGGAGGAACAAGAGAAGAGCAUAGGUUUGAUAUGGAAAAGAUAAGGAAACUGAACGGUAAGGCCAUGAUAAGGGGAUUAUUUAUUUAUUUAUUUAUUAUAGCAGAAUUAUUUAUUGUUUCUAAAUUUUUUUUUUUUUUUGGGUUUGCUAAAUACGAGGGUGAUGGUUGAUUCAGUUACGGCCCUAAUUGCCGUCCACGCCCCUCCUAAAUGAAGUGGGGAAGACCCUUUCUACUUCUUACAUGACCACAUGAAGACGAUGUAUGGUCAACUUUAGAUUACACACACCGUCAAUGAGAGUAACUACAGCCGCCAAUCAGAGUGAGGUUAGUGUUAAUUUCCAGCCACAUGGUACUCUUUUAUAGCACGUUGAAUACACGAUGACUCGGUGAGAAAUUUAAAAAAAAAACGCAACUGUCCACAGUAUAAUGUAUUUUUAGAAAAUGGGGCCCACUGCACAGUGAGAGUAUGAGAUCAAGUGGGGAAUUCAGACGUCAACAUCGGUUUUAGGGACCAUCCACACCACCACCACCAUCACCCCUUUGUGGGACCCUUUCAAGGUUACGGAUAUUCAGGCUUAAAAGAUAACGGCGUUACAAGUGAGCUGCGGCAAUCCCUGGAGAGUCUUCUCCGUUCUGUGGACGUAAGUAGUGCGUACUCCGUUGUGUUGUUUUUUCGCCGUAUGUUUGUUGCAGAGUAGUCUCUGUUUUUUUUUUUUCUUUCUGUGUUAAAUUAGGCUAGAGUUCAUCGGUACAGACUGGUUUCUGUGAAACGGUCUGUUAAAGGUUGACGUUAUGGCAUUUUGGAUUCAUUUAUAUUUAAAAAAAAUCUCGAAAUUAAAUAAAAGAAAAAAGGGAAAAUUAUACUAUACUGAAAGCAGGAGAAACAGCACUGACAGCUUCAACUCUCAUGUUGGCCCAUCACCAUGUGAUUCUGCCACGUUAUGCAGAUUCUCAUCAUACGGUGGUCCCCUCCACCAUUUCCCAUCCAUCACCUUCACCUUGUUGUUUGUUAAAUAGUACUGCGUUUUAGUUUAUUUUAUUUUUAUUUACAGCUGUUAUUUUUGUGAUUUUUAAGCAAAGUUAGUGGCAGGUGCAAUCCCGAAAGUGAUCACUGUACCCUUCCUUGACCCGAACCUGGUGCUGGCCAAUUGGCG
This 1181-nucleotide long non-coding RNA is filed under the name Manihot esculenta (cassava). Its description in RNAcentral is "long non-coding RNA (MESC_LNC000824)". Lineage: Eukaryota; Viridiplantae; Streptophyta; Magnoliopsida; Malpighiales; Euphorbiaceae. The record is from RNAcentral.